GAUGAACGCUAGCGGCAGGCCUAAUACAUGCAAGUCAAGGGGGCAGCAAUGUCACCGGCGAACGGGUGCGUAACGCGUACGCAACGUACCUUUGAGCGGGGGAUAGCUUUGGGAAACUGGAGGUAAUACCCCAUAGUAUUCUGAUGUGGCAUCACAAUGGAAUUAAAACUGAGGUGCUCAAAGAUCGGCGUGCGUCCCAUUAGUUAGUUGGCGUGGUAACGGCACACCAAGACGAUGAUGGGUAGGGGGCGUGAGAGCGUGGCCCCCCACACGGACACUGAGAUACGGGUCCGACUCCUACGGGAGGCAGCAGUAAGGAAUAUUGGUCAAUGGAGGGAACUCUGAACCAGCCAUCCCGCGUGCAGGAUGAAGGGGCUCUGCCCUGUAAACUGCUUUUGAAUGGGACGAAAAAGCCUCACUUGUGAGGAACUGACGGUACCAUUAGAAUAAGCACCGGCUAACUCCGUGCCAGCAGCCGCGGUAAU
RNAcentral lists this ribosomal RNA (485 nucleotides) under uncultured bacterium. RNAcentral's name for it is "bacterial SSU rRNA". It matches the Rfam family "Bacterial small subunit ribosomal RNA", at positions 28 to 524 of the family's 1533-position model. The record is from RNAcentral.